UGAGUGAGGCUGAGGCUCGGACUUACAUAGAAGGUACCCUGGCAGGCUGGUUCUGGGGUCUCUGAGGGAGCGCACUGAGGUCAGGUCUCCAAGGGAUGGAAAAACUGCAAAUUGGAUCAGAUGUGGAUCCUACAGGGAACUGUCUCUGCUGGGGUGAAAAGCAUUGCUGGUAAGACACUCGCAGGAAUGGGAAAUACAUACAAGCCCACAGAAGGGAGAACAUCCCUUCUCCUUCGUCCAGCCGGUGUGUCCCUAUUGCCAGAGCCCAAUAGAGAGCAGCUGGCCAAGAAGAAACAUCCGCAGAGUCUCAGCCCCAGCACCAUAAGCUGAGUCUAUACGGAACUGCUGACUCUUUCCUACCAGAGAAACAAAAGGAAAACUUGCUUUCUUUGAU
Molecule: long non-coding RNA, 394 nt
Organism: Hyaena hyaena (striped hyena)
Lineage: Eukaryota; Metazoa; Chordata; Mammalia; Carnivora; Hyaenidae
Exons: 2
Source: RefSeq, a predicted model, not a curated record